This 72-nucleotide transfer RNA is filed under the name Candidatus Zhuqueibacterota bacterium. Its description in RNAcentral is "candidate division KSB1 bacterium (microbial mat metagenome) tRNA-Glu". It matches the Rfam family "tRNA". From Rfam's summary of the family: Transfer RNA (tRNA) molecules are approximately 80 nucleotides in length. Lineage: Bacteria; Pseudomonadati. The record is from RNAcentral. RNAcentral also lists the same sequence under 1 other name.
GGCGCGUUCGUCUAGCGGUUAGGACGCCGGCCUCUCACGCCGGUAACACGGGUUCGAUCCCCGUACGCGCUA